This 301-nucleotide ribosomal RNA is filed under the name uncultured bacterium. RNAcentral describes it as "partial 16S ribosomal RNA". It matches the Rfam family "Bacterial small subunit ribosomal RNA", at positions 509 to 809 of the family's 1533-position model. The record is from RNAcentral.
CAGCAGCCGCGGGAAUACGUAGGGUGCGAGCGUUAAUCGGAAUUACUGGGCGUAAAGCGUGCGCAGGCGGUUAUAUAAGACAGAUGUGAAAUCCCCGGGCUCAACCUGGGACCUGCAUUUGUGACUGUAUAGCUAGAGUACGGUAAAGGGGGAUGGAAUUCCGCGUGUAGCAGUGAAAUGCGUAGAUAUGCGGAGGAACACCGAUGGCGAAGGCAAUCCCCUGGACCUGUACUGACGCUCAUGCACGAAAGCGUGGGGAGCAAACAGGAUUAGAUACCCCGGUAGUCCCUGUCUCUUAUCC